UACGAAGGGGGCUAGCGUUGUUCGGAAUUACUGGGCGUAAAGCGCACGUAGGCGGAUUUGUAAGUCAGGGGUGAAAUCCCGGGGCUCAACCUCGGAACUGCCUUUGAUACUGCAAGUCUCGAGUCCGAUAGAGGUGAGUGGAAUUCCUAGUGUAGAGGUGAAAUUCGUAGAUAUUAGGAAGAACACCCGUGGCGAAGGCGGCCCACUGGGCCGGACCUGACGCUGAGGCGCGAAGGCGUGGGGAGCGAACGGG
RNAcentral lists this ribosomal RNA (253 nucleotides) under uncultured bacterium. Its description in RNAcentral is "partial 16S ribosomal RNA". It matches the Rfam family "Bacterial small subunit ribosomal RNA", at positions 524 to 776 of the family's 1533-position model. The record is from RNAcentral.